AUUGAACGCUGGCGGCAUGCCUUACACAUGCAAGUCGAACGGUAACAGGUUAAGCUGACGCGUGGCGAACGGGCGAGUAAUGUAUCGGAAAGUGGCCAGUCGUGUGCGAUAACUGCUCGAAAGAGCAGGGAAUACCGCAUACGACCUGAGGGUGAAAGCGGGGGAGCGCAAGACAAUGCGCAAUUGGAGCGGUCGAGAUCAGAUUAGGUAGUUGGUGAGGUAAAGGCUCACCAAGCCGACGAUCGGUAGCUGGUCUGAGAGGACGACCAGCCACACUGGGACUGAGACACGGCCCAGACUCCUACGGGAGGCAGCAGUGGGGAAUUUUGGACAAUGGGCGCAAGCCUGAUCCAGCCAUGCCGCGUGCGUGAAGAAGGCCUUCGGGUUGUAAACCGCUUUUGUCAGGGAAGAAAAGGUUCUGGCUAAUACCUGGGACUCAUGACGGUACCUGAAGAAUAAGCACCGGCUAACUACGUG
RNAcentral lists this ribosomal RNA (477 nucleotides) under uncultured bacterium. Its description in RNAcentral is "partial 16S ribosomal RNA". It matches the Rfam family "Bacterial small subunit ribosomal RNA", at positions 29 to 507 of the family's 1533-position model. The record is from RNAcentral.